AACGAACGCUGGCGGCAUGCCUAACACAUGCAAGUCGAACGAGACCUUCGGGGCUAGUGGCGCACGGGUGCGUAACGCGUGGGAACCUUCCCUUAGGUUCGGAAUAACUCCCCGAAAGGGGUGCUAAUACCGGCUAAUGUCUUCGGACCAAAGAUUUAUCGCCUUUGGAUGGGCCCGCGUUGGCUUAGCUAGUUGGUAGGGUAAAAGCCUACCAAGGCGACGAUCCAUAGCUGGUCUGAGAGGAUGAUCAGCCACACUGGGACUGAGACACGGCCCAGACUCCUACGGGAGGCGGCAGUGGGGAAUAUUGGAAAAUGGGCGAAAGCAUGAUCCAGCAAUGCCGCGUGAGUGAUGAAGGCCUUAGGGUUGUAAAGCUCUUUUACACGGGAUGAUAAUGACAGUACCGGGAGAAUAAGCUCCGGCUAACUCCGUG
This 433-nucleotide ribosomal RNA is filed under the name uncultured bacterium. RNAcentral's name for it is "partial 16S ribosomal RNA". It matches the Rfam family "Bacterial small subunit ribosomal RNA", at positions 29 to 507 of the family's 1533-position model. The record is from RNAcentral.